This 640-nucleotide ribosomal RNA is filed under the name Bacillus sp. (in: firmicutes). Its description in RNAcentral is "bacterial SSU rRNA". It matches the Rfam family "Bacterial small subunit ribosomal RNA", at positions 69 to 692 of the family's 1533-position model. Lineage: Bacteria; Bacillati; Bacillota; Bacilli; Caryophanales; Bacillaceae. The record is from RNAcentral.
GGAUUAAGAGCUUGCUCUUAUGAAGUUAGCGGCGGACGGGUGAGUAACACGUGGGUAACCUGCCCAUAAGACUGGGAUAACUCCGGGAAACCGGGGCUAAUACCGGAUAACAUUUUGAACCGCAUGGUUCGAAAUUGAAAGGCGGCUUCGGCUGUCACUUAUGGAUGGACCCGCGUCGCAUUAGCUAGUUGGUGAGGUAACGGCUCACCAAGGCAACGAUGCGUAGCCGACCUGAGAGGGUGAUCGGCCACACUGGGACUGAGACACGGCCCAGACUCCUACGGGAGGCAGCAGUAGGGAAUCUUCCGCAAUGGACGAAAGUCUGACGGAGCAACGCCGCGUGAGUGAUGAAGGCUUUCGGGUCGUAAAACUCUGUUGUUAGGGAAGAACAAGUGCUAGUUGAAUAAGCUGGCACCUUGACGGUACCUAACCAGAAAGCCACGGCUAACUACGUGCCAGCAGCCGCGGUAAUACGUAGGUGGCAAGCGUUAUCCGGAAUUAUUGGGCGUAAAGCGCGCGCAGGUGGUUUCUUAAGUCUGAUGUGAAAGCCCACGGCUCAACCGUGGAGGGUCAUUGGAAACUGGGAGACUUGAGUGCAGAAGAGGAAAGUGGAAUUCCAUGUGUAGCGGUGAAAUGCGUA